UACGGGGGGAGCAAGCGUUGUUCGGAUUUACUGGGCGUAAAGGGCGCGUAGGCGGCGUAACAAGUCACUUGUGAAAUCUCCGGGCUUAACCCGGAGCGGCCAAGUGAUACUGUUGUGCUAGAGUGCGGAAGGGGCUACUGGAAUUCUCGGUGUAGCGGUGAAAUGCGUAGAUAUCGAGAGGAACACCUGCGGCGAAGGCGGGUAGCCGGGCCGACACUGACGCUGAGGCGCGAAAGCCAGGGGAGCGAACGGG
Molecule: ribosomal RNA, 253 nt
Filed under: uncultured bacterium
Lineage: Bacteria
Description: partial 16S ribosomal RNA
Rfam family: Bacterial small subunit ribosomal RNA
Source: RNAcentral